RNAcentral lists this ribosomal RNA (140 nucleotides) under uncultured eukaryote. RNAcentral's name for it is "partial 18S ribosomal RNA". It matches the Rfam family "Eukaryotic small subunit ribosomal RNA", at positions 1299 to 1458 of the family's 1831-position model. The record is from RNAcentral.
UGGUGGAGUGAUUUGUCUGCUUAAUUGCGUUAACGAACGAGACCUUAACCUGCUUACUAGAUCACUGAUGCACAAUCGGUGACUCUUCUUAGAGGGACUUUGGCUGUUUUUAACUUCCAAGGAAGUUUGAGGCAAUAACA